AGAGUUUGAUCCUGGCUCAGAACGAACGCUGGCGGCAUGCCUAACACAUGCAAGUCGAACGAACCCUUCGGGGUUAGUGGCGCACGGGUGCGUAACGCGUGGGAACCUGCCUUUAGGUUCGGAAUAACUCAGAGAAAUUUGAGCUAAUACCGGAUAAUGUCUUCGGACCAAAGAUUUAUCGCCUUUAGAUGGGCCCGCGUUAGAUUAGAUAGUUGGUGGGGUAAUGGCCUACCAAGUCGACGAUCUAUAGCUGGUCUGAGAGGAUGAUCAGCCACACUGGGACUGAGACACGGCCCAGACUCCUACGGGAGGCAGCAGUGGGGAAUAUUGGACAAUGGGCGAAAGCCUGAUCCAGCAAUGCCGCGUGAGUGAUGAAGGCCUUAGGGUUGUAAAGCUCUUUUACCCGGGAUGAUAAUGACAGUACCGGGAGAAUAAGCUCCGGCUAACUCCGUGCCAGCAGCCGCGGUAAUACGGAGGGAGCUAGCGUUGUUCGGAAUUACUGGGCGUAAAGCGCGCGUAGGCGGCCAUUUAAGUCAGGGGUGAAAUCCCGGGGCUCAACCCCGGAACUGCCUUUGAAACUGGAUGGCUAGAAUCCUGGAGAGGCGAGUGGAAUUCCGAGUGUAGAGGUGAAAUU
RNAcentral lists this ribosomal RNA (634 nucleotides) under uncultured bacterium. RNAcentral's name for it is "bacterial SSU rRNA". It matches the Rfam family "Bacterial small subunit ribosomal RNA", at positions 8 to 688 of the family's 1533-position model. The record is from RNAcentral.